RNAcentral lists this ribosomal RNA (1592 nucleotides) under Vibrio parahaemolyticus 3259. RNAcentral's name for it is "bacterial SSU rRNA". It matches the Rfam family "Bacterial small subunit ribosomal RNA". Lineage: Bacteria; Pseudomonadati; Pseudomonadota; Gammaproteobacteria; Vibrionales; Vibrionaceae. The record is from RNAcentral.
AGAGUUUUGAUCAUGGCUCAGAUUGAACGCUGGCGGCAGGCCUAACACAUGCAAGUCGAGCGGAAACGAGUUAUCAGAACCUUCGGGGGACGAUAACGGCGUCGAGCGGCGGACGGGUGAGUAAUGCCUAGGAAAUUUGCCCUGAUGUGGGGGAUAACCAUUGGAAACGAUGGCUAAUACCGCAUGAUGCCUACGGGCCAAAGAGGGGGACCUUCGGGCCUCUCGCGUCAGGAUAUGCCUAGGUGGGAUUAGCUAGUUGGUGAGGUAAGGGCUCACCAAGGCGACGAUCCCUAGCUGGUCUGAGAGGAUGAUCAGCCACACUGGAACUGAGACACGGUCCAGACUCCUACGGGAGGCAGCAGUGGGGAAAUAUUGCACAAUGGGCGCAAGCCUGAUGCAGCCCAUGCCGCGGUGUGUGAAGAAGGCUUCGGGUUGUAAAGCACUUUCAGUCGUGAGGAGGUAGUGUAUGUUAAUAGCUGCAUUAUUUGACGUUAGCGACAGAAGAAGCACCGGCUAAAACUCCGUGCCAGCAGCCGCGGUAAUACGGAGGGUGCGAGCGGCUUUAAUCGGAAAUUACUGGCGUAAAGCGCAUGCAGGUGUUUGUUAAGUCAGGAUGUGAAAAGCCCGGGGCUCAACCUCGGAAUUGAUUUUGAAAACUGGCAGACUAGAGGUACUGUAUGAGGGGGGUAGAAUUUCAGGUGUAGCGGUGAACAUUGCGUAGAGAUCUGAAGGAAUACCGGUGGCGAAGGCUGCCCCCUGGACAGAUACUGACACUCAGAUGCGAAAGCGUGGGGAGCAAACAGGAUUAGUACCCUGGUAGUCCACCUGCCGGUAAACGAUGUUCUACUUGGACCGUGUGGCCUUGAGCCGGUGGCUUUCGGAGGCUAACGCGUUAAGAAAAAAAAAAAAAAAAAAAAAAAAUAGACCGCCUGGGGGUACGGUCGCAAGAUUAAAACUCAAAUGAAUUGACGGCGGGCCCGCACAAAGCGGUGGAGCAUGUGUUUAAUUCGAUGCAACGCGAAGAACCUUACCUACUCUUGACAUCCAGAGAACUUUCCAGAGAUGGAUUGGUGCCUUCGGGAACUCUGAGACAGGUGCUGCAUGGCUGUCGUCAGCUCGUGUUGUGAAAUGUUGGGUUAAGUCCCGCAACGAGCGCAACCCUUAUCCUUGUUUGCCAGCGAGUAAUGUCGGGAACUCCAGGGAGACUGCCGGUGAUAAACCGGAGGAAGGUGGGGACGACGUCAAGUCAUCAUGGCCCUUACGAGUAGGGCUACACACGUGCUACAAUGGCGCAUACAGAGGGCGGCCAACUUGCGAAAGUGAGCGAAUCCCAAAAAGUGCGUCGUAGUCCGGAUUGGAGUCUGCAACUCGACUCCAUGAAGUCGGAAUCGCUAGUAAUCGUGGAUCAGAAUGCCACGGUGAAUACGUUCCCGGGCCUUGUACACACCGCCCGUCACACCAUGGGAGUGGGCUGCAAAAGAAGUAGGUAGUUUAACCUUCGGGGGAUCGCUUACCACUUUGGUGGUUCAUUGGACUGGGUGUGAAGUCGUAAAACAAGGUAGCGGCUAGGGGAACCUGGCGCUGGAUCACCU